AAAACUUUCAACAACGGAUCUCUUGGUUCUGGCAUCGAUGAAGAACGCAGCGAAAUGCGAUAAGUAGUGUGAAUUGCAGAAUUCAGUGAAUCAUCGAAUCUUUGAACGCACAUUGCGCCCUUUGGUAUUCCGAAGGGCAUGCCUGUUCGAGCGUCAU
RNAcentral lists this ribosomal RNA (157 nucleotides) under Massaria anomia. RNAcentral describes it as "5.8S ribosomal RNA". It matches the Rfam family "5.8S ribosomal RNA". Rfam says of the family: 5.8S ribosomal RNA (5.8S rRNA) is a component of the large subunit of the eukaryotic ribosome. It is transcribed by RNA polymerase I as part of the 45S precursor that also contains 18S and 28S rRNA. Functionally, it is thought that 5.8S rRNA may be involved in ribosome translocation. Lineage: Eukaryota; Fungi; Ascomycota; Dothideomycetes; Pleosporales; Massariaceae. The record is from RNAcentral. RNAcentral also lists the same sequence under 4 other names.